Molecule: ribosomal RNA, 253 nt
Filed under: uncultured bacterium
Lineage: Bacteria
Description: partial 16S ribosomal RNA
Rfam family: Bacterial small subunit ribosomal RNA
Source: RNAcentral
UACGGAGGGUGCAAGCGUUAAUCGGAAUUACUGGGCGUAAAGGGUUCGUAGGUGGUUAGAUAAGUCAGAUGUGAAAGCCCUGGGCUCAACCUGGGAACUGCAUUUGAUACUGUUUAACUAGAGUUUACUAGAGGAUUGGGGAAUUUCCGGUGUAGCGGUGAAAUGCGUAGAGAUCGGAAGGAACAUCAAUGGCGAAGGCAACAAUCUGGGGUUAAACUGACACUGAGGGACGAAAGCGUGGGUAGCAAACAGG